This 491-nucleotide ribosomal RNA is filed under the name uncultured bacterium. RNAcentral describes it as "partial 16S ribosomal RNA". It matches the Rfam family "Bacterial small subunit ribosomal RNA", at positions 29 to 507 of the family's 1533-position model. The record is from RNAcentral.
AGUGAACGCUGGCGGUAGGCCUAACACAUGCAAGUCGAACGGCAGCACAGUAAGCGCUUGCUCUUACGGGUGGCGAGUGGCGGACGGGUGAGGAAUACAUCGGAAUCUACUUUUUCGUGGGGGAUAACGUAGGGAAACUUCGCCUAUUCCCGAAUAUUCUCAACGGUAUAAGCCAAGGGUGCUUGGCCCUUUUGCGGUUUGAUGUACCGAUGUCCGAUUAGCUAGUUUGCGGGGUAAAGGUCCACCAAGGCGACGAUCCGUAGCUGGUCUGAGAGGAUGAUCGGCCACACUGGAACUGAGACACGGUCCAGACUCCUACGGGAGGCAGCAGUGGGGAAUAUUGGACAAUGGGCGAAAGCCUGAUCCAGCCAUACCGCGUGGGUGAAGAAGGCCUUCGGGUUGUAAAGCCCUUUUGUUGGGAAAGAAAAGCAGCAGGUUAAUACCCCGCUGUUCUGACGGUACCCAAAGAAUAAGCACCGGCUAACUUCGUG